Molecule: transfer RNA, 76 nt
Filed under: Gammaproteobacteria bacterium
Lineage: Bacteria; Pseudomonadati; Pseudomonadota; Gammaproteobacteria
Description: tRNA-Pro
Rfam family: tRNA
About the family: Transfer RNA (tRNA) molecules are approximately 80 nucleotides in length. Their secondary structure includes four short double-helical elements and three loops (D, anti-codon, and T loops). Further hydrogen bonds mediate the characteristic L-shaped molecular structure. tRNAs have two regions of fundamental functional importance: the anti-codon, which is responsible for specific mRNA codon recognition, and the 3' end, to which the tRNAs corresponding amino acid is attached (by aminoacyl-tRNA synthetases). tRNAs cope with the degeneracy of the genetic code in two manners: having more than one tRNA (with a specific anti-codon) for a particular amino acid; and 'wobble' base-pairing, i.e. permitting non-standard base-pairing at the 3rd anti-codon position.
Source: RNAcentral
CUCUCUAUAGCUCAACCUGGCAGAGUUUCCGGUUCGGAGCCGGAAGAUGGUGGUUCGAAUCCACCUGGGGAGACCA